UACAGAGGUGGCAAGCGUUGCUCGGUAUCACUGGGCUUAAAGGGCGCGUAGGCGGUGCGGUACGGUUUCGGUGAAAUCCCUCGGCCCAACCGAGGAACAGCCGGGGCUACGGCCGCGCUAGACGGCAUCAGGGGACAGUGGAACUUCCGGUGGAGCGGUGAAAUGCGUAGAUAUCGGAAGGAACGCCGGUGGCGAAAGCGACUGUCUGGGGUGCCUGUGACGCUGAGGCGCGAAAGCCAGGGGAUCAAAC
Molecule: ribosomal RNA, 250 nt
Filed under: uncultured Planctomycetota bacterium
Lineage: Bacteria; Pseudomonadati; Planctomycetota
Description: uncultured planctomycete partial 16S ribosomal RNA
Rfam family: Bacterial small subunit ribosomal RNA
Source: RNAcentral